AACGUGGGGAAGUGAAACAUCUCAGUACCCACAGGAAAAGAAAUCAACCGAGAUUCCCUUAGUAGCGGCGAGCGAAACGGGAGUAGCCCUAAAAUCUUUGAGGUGUUAGUAGAAUAAGCUGGAAUGCUUGACCGAAGAGGGUGAAAGUCCCGUAUACGAAAACUAAUCAUAGACUAUUCGAGUAGGUCGGGACACGUGAAACCCUGACUGAAUAUGGGAGGACCACCUUCCAAGGCUAAAUACUACUUCAGGAUCGAUAGUGAACCAGUACCGUGAGGGAAAGGUGAAAAGAACCGCAGUGAGCGGAGUGAAAUAGAACCUGAAGCCAUCUGCCUACAAUCAUUCAGAGCCCCAUGCUAUACGCGGGGUGAUGGACUGCCUUUUGCAUAAUGAGCCUGCGAGUUAUGGUGACUAGCAAGGUUAAUCACACGAGAAGCCGUAGCGAAAGCGAGUCUUAAUAGGGCGAUAGUUAGUUGCUGUAGACCCGAAACUAAGUGAUCUAUCCAUGGGCAGGUUGAAGCUGGUGUAAGAGCUAGUGGAGGACCGAACGGGUGAAGGUUUAAAACUUCUCCGAUGACCUGUGGAUAGGGGUGAAAGGCCAAUCAAACUUAGUGAUAGCUGGUUCUCUCCGAAAUAUAUUUAGGUAUAGCGUCAUGUUCGAAACAUGAGGGGGUAGAGCACUGAUUGGGCUAGGGCCUAUACCAAG
This 706-nucleotide ribosomal RNA is filed under the name uncultured bacterium. RNAcentral describes it as "bacterial LSU rRNA". It matches the Rfam family "Bacterial large subunit ribosomal RNA", at positions 181 to 935 of the family's 2925-position model. The record is from RNAcentral.